CGUAUGCAGCAGCUGAAACCGUGAAGAUAAGAUAUAAGAAGAUGUGUUACAAGUGCCAAUGAGACAACCCUCCGUCCAAGUCAAAAUGUGUAAAAAGUAAACCAUAAUACUAGUAGGUCAAAGUACGGACUUCAACACGAAGCCUUGGCUCACACCAAACAGGAAUUGCAUAACAAAGCACGAAAAACGGCUCAGCAUUUAGGCACUUAGCUGGCCUCAAACUCCAGCCUAUCAUAAUGCCGCCUUUUACACAUAUGUUUAUAAUUGAGGAUGACUAAAGGGAAAUUGUCAGAGACAACAACCCGACGAAAGUGCAGAAAACAGCGGAAGACCACAAAUGGGUCUUCAAUACAGCGAGCAUAUCCUGACCAUAUGAAACAUUUUGUUAGUUACGGCCCUACGCAUCAUUUGAAAUCUGUGGGUAGUUUUCAUUCGGCAAUCCUCGGUAUAGAAUCCGCUACUUAGAUGAGGGUAUGGAAUCGGCCGAGUUGAGACGAAUGGGUAGUUGUCUCACGUACAUCAUCCUUUAUUUAUAAUGUGACAAAUUCUAAAAUAUAAAAAAAUACGAAGCUGUACACUAAAAAGCUAAGCUCACAGGUGUAUCCUGGAAACAGGCCAGGUCAAUGUUUGAUAAAACUUACACUUUUAAUACAUACGUGAAUAUAAAUCAACAUUUAUUAAUAGGGGACUGCUUGUGACUGUGAAUGAAACAUUUAUUAUUA
RNAcentral lists this long non-coding RNA (722 nucleotides) under Mytilus galloprovincialis (Mediterranean mussel). Lineage: Eukaryota; Metazoa; Mollusca; Bivalvia; Mytilida; Mytilidae. The record is from RNAcentral.